Erigeron canadensis is the source of this 4990-nucleotide RNA transcript. It is a transcript of the gene named putative disease resistance protein At3g14460, with no coding region annotated. The record is from RefSeq and is a predicted model, not a curated record. The transcript has 3 exons. NCBI's taxonomy places the organism in Eukaryota, Viridiplantae, Streptophyta, Magnoliopsida, Asterales, Asteraceae.
AUCCACAAACACAAAUCCACCAAAACCAUAUAAACAAGAAUCCGCCACCAAAACCAAUGAUUACUGAAACUGUUUUUUCUGUGCUCUUUGAGAAGCUGACAUCUGCAACUUUGGAAAGACUUGCUCGCCAGAAUGGAAUUGAUUCUGAGAUCAGGAAAUGGAAGAUGUCAUUACUUCAGAUACGAGAUGUGCUUAAUGAUGCUUCUCAAAAAGAGAUAAGUGAUCAAUCUGUGAAGCGAUGGCUUAAUGGUCUCCAACAUUUGGCAUAUGACAUAGACGACGUCCUCGACGCUGUAGAAACCGAAGCAAUUCAUCGUGAGUUGACCGAAGAUCCGCCUGAAACUAGUAAGCUAAGAAAAAUCGUCUCAACUGGUUUUAGUAAGUUUUCACUAAGGACUAGUGUAACGAAAGAUAAGUUAGAUGAGAUUACCACCAAAUUGCAAGAUCUAAUUGACGAAAAAAAUGCUCUUGGUUUAAUUAUGAAAGACGAAAUAAGGCCAAACAAUAUAAAUAGAAGAUACCAAACCUCUAUUGUUCAUGAACCUAAUAUUGUUGGACGACAAGAUGAGAAAGCGGAACUGCUCCAAAAGCUAUUGGUAACGGGUGAUGAACCAAGUCACCAAAACUUUAGCAUUGUUCCUAUAGUCGGCAUGGGUGGCGUUGGUAAAACAACCCUAGCUAGACUUUUGUAUAAUGAAAAUCAAGUCAUAGAACACUUUGAGCUUAAGGCGUGGGUUUGUGUUUCCGAUGACUUUGAUAGCUUUUCUAUAAGCAAAGUAAUUUAUCAAUCUGUAACGGGUGAAAACAGGGAAUUUGCGGAUUUGAAUCUGCUCCAGGUAGCACUUAGAAAUCACCUCCAGGAUAAAAUGCUUCUGCUAGUUUUAGAUGAUGUAUGGAGUGAAAGUUGUGAAGAUUGGGAAACCCUGGUUGGUCCAAUUCAUGCAUGUGCUCACGGAAGUAAAAUCAUCAUGACCACACGAAAGGAGCAAUUGCUCAAAAAGUUAGGUUAUGAUCAUUUACAAAAACUGUCAUGCCUGUCUCUUGAUGAUGCCUUGUCGUUAUUUGCACAACAUGCAUUAGGUGUAAAUAACUUUGAUUUACAUCCUACGCUCAGACCACAUGGCGAAGGCAUUGCAAAAAAGUGUAAUGGUUUGCCUUUGGCUUUAAAAGCACUUGGUAGGCUAUUGAGGACAAAACAUGAUGAAGAAGAUUGGAAGGAAGUUUCAGAGAGUGAGAUUUGGAGGUUGAAAGACGACGGUGGAAUUGUUCCGGCUCUUAGAUUAAGUUACCUUGAUCUUUCAGCAUGUUUAAAGCGGUUGUUUGCAUAUUGUUCCUCGUUCCCCAAAGACUUUAUGUUUGAUAGGGAGAAUUUAGUUUUGUUGUGGACAGCAGAAGGGCUUUUGCACCAAACACUGCCUACCAAUUGGACAGAAGAACGCUUGGGUCAUGAAUUUUUUGAAGAGUUGUUAUCAAGGUCCUUUUUCCAACAUGCGCCUAAUGCAUCAUUCUUUAUAAUGCAUGAUCUGAUGAAUGACUUGGCCACAUCUGUUGCUGGAGAGUUCUUUUUAAGGUUAAACAAUGAUACAGAGAAGGAUAUCGGGAAAGAAAUUUUGGAAAAGUGUCGUCAUCUAUCAUUUGUUCGUGAACCAUAUGUAACUUACAAGAAGUUAGAGGGGGUCAGUAGAGCUAAAAGUUUAAGGACAUUCUUGGCAACAUCUGUUGGAUUGGUAGAAGGUUUGUCAUGGUUCAACUUAUCGAAUAAAAUUCUUGUUGACUUGCUUCCUGAGUUACAAUUGUUAAGGGUCCUGUGUUUGAGUAAUUUCAACAUAAGUGAAGUGCCAGAUUCCAUUGGUGAGAUGAGGCACUUAAGGUAUCUUAAUCUAUCUCGAACUAAGAUCACACAUCUCCCAGAAAAUGUAAGCAAUCUCUACAAUUUACAAGUAUUGAUUGUUUGUGACUGUUAUAAGUUGACUAAGUUGCCCAACAACUUUUCAAAACUUAAAAACCUACGACAUUUUGACAUUUGGAACACUCCGAAGUUGAAAAAGUUACCGUUAGGAAUUGGUAGCUUGAGUAAGUUACAAACUCUCUCCAACAUCAUCGUUGAAGGUGAAAAUGGAUUUAAAAUAACCGAGCUUAAAAAUUUGAAGUAUCUAUGUGGAAAAAUUUCCAUUAAGGGGUUAGACAAAGUGCAAAGUUCAAUUCAUGCACAGGAGGCGAACUUUUCGCGAAAGAGGCUUAAUAAGUUAGAAGUGGAAUGGAGUGAUGUGUUUGAUGUUUCUCGAAAUGUAAUGGUUGAAAAGGGGGUCUUAAAUGAGCUUAAGCCACUUAAUGAAAGCUUAAAACAACUCAAAGUAGUGUCUUAUGGAGGAAUAGAGCUUCCAAGUUGGGUUGGAGAUCCGUCGUUUCUUCGGUUGAAACAUGUGUCAAUACAUGGAUGUAAAAGAUGUUUAUCUCUACCAUCACUAGGACAAUUGCCAGCACUUAAGGAGUUGUCUAUUAAAGGCUUGCAUGAAGCGAAAGUUGUGGGUUUGGAGUUACUUGGGACUAGUGGUAAAUUUUCUUUACUUGAAGUUCUAAAAUUUGAAAAUAUGUCGGGGUGGGAGGUAUGGUCAGCCAAUAGUAAGGAUGUGUUUCCGUGCCUUAAAGAGCUUGUUAUUAAGAAUUGUCCUAAGUUGGCCGAAGUCUCUCUUGAAGCACUACCUUCAUUGAGGGUAUUACAAGUAAGUGAAAGCGAUGAGAGCGUGUUGAGAAGUUUGGUUCAAAUAGCUUCAAAGGUUACCAAGUUGAUAAUAACGAGAAUUUCAGGUCUGACAGAUGAUGUGUGGAGAGGUGUUAUAGAAUGUAUUGGUAAAAUUACAGAGCUAAGCAUUAAUUCGUGCAAUGAGAUAAGACACUUGUGGGAAUCUGAAGCAGAGGCAAGUAAGGUUCUUCUGAAAUUAAGGAACUUGUGUGUAUACCAUUGUGAUAAUUUGGUGAGUUUAGGAAAAAAAGAGGAAGAGGAGGGUGAUUGUGGGAGCAGCCUCCACUUAACAUCUCUUAGGAAGUUGGAGAUAUCCGUAUGUAAGAAUAUAGAGUGUUGCACUGUGCUAAAUAGCAUAGAGACAUUGACAAUCUCUGGUUGUCGUUCACUUACAAAAAUUUCCUUCCCAUCAGGAGGAGGGCAGAAGCUCAAGUUAGUCACCUUUGGGAAUAUUGUAAAAGUAAUGAAACCAGAAUUGGGAGGAUAUGAAGGAGGAGUAGGAGACACGAGUAUGAUGCUUUUCAACAAUGGAAGUAGCAUGCCAAUGCUUGAUUUCCUAUGUAUAUAUUUGCCAAAUCUGAAAUUCAUCGUUAAGUUGAAUUGCUUCCUUCACCUCACCACAUUGAUGAUACAAGAUUGUUCAAGUCUGGAGACGUUUCCUGACCACCAGUUGUUGGAAUUGGCCUCUUUAAAAAGUCUGUGGAUUAGAGAUUGUCCAAGAUUGGAUGCAUCCUUUCCUCGUGGGCUUUGGCCUCCCAAGUUGUGUAACCUUGGAAUCGGGCGGCUGAAGAAGCCCAUCUCACAAUGGGGCCACCAGAAUUUCCCUCUGUCACUUGUAGAACUAAACUUAUACGGGUCAGAGGAUGUGAUUGAUUUUAGUCAAUUGUCCGAUCUUGUUCCUUCAUCUCUCGCUCGCCUGGAAAUAUAUGAUUUUACGGAAUUGGAAUCAGUUUCAAGGGGGUUCCAACACCUCUCCUCCCUCACACGUCUCUCCUUUAAUAGAUGCCCAAACUUGAAAGAUCUGCCAGAAGUGUUGUUUCCUUCACUUUUGAGUUUGAGCAUCGUUUUUUGUCCAUAUGUGAGAAAAAAAAUCAGCAGAAAUGGCGGGUCUGGCUCCUACUGGCCCCUCAUUUCCCAUAUCCCCUACAUCAAUAUAUCCCCCUAAGUUAUGAAGUUACUAAGAAGGGGUUCUUUGUUUGACACUUAUAAAUCUUAUUUGAAGGACAGGGCUUACUGAUGAAAUAGGUGCAGAGGUAUGAUGAUGGAUGCACUCAGAGAAUGUUGAGAAGGAAAUUAAGAAGCUGCUUAUGAGGAAUGACAUAAAGGAUUCAACAAGAUAAACCACAAGCAAGCAUUUAUACAAAUAAGAUGUCCUUCCAGACUUAUAUUAUGGCUUGGCAUUCGUAAUUGGAACAAUUUUAGACUUUCAAAUAGUGAUUUGCAAAAGUUCAAAGCAGAUUGCAAGACCUGAAAACGAAGAUCAAUAGGCGUAAAGUUGGUAAAUUUUAUGUGAUUUUUUGAAGGAGAUGAAUAUGAGUUUCUUUUGAAAGUUCUAGAUACCGUAGAGUUUUAAUCACCCAAUCCUAUCAAGAAUUACAUGAAUUUGACAUAACCGCCUACUAUAAAACAUAAUCCUCAACGAGUUUCUUCUUUAGUUCUUCGGUUCUAUUUUCAUCUUCUACUAUGAGAAGGUCAUGUGUAUAACAAGUUAGAGGGUACCCAAUGGUUAGUCCCUGGGUUCGUUUGAGGUGGACGGACGAGUCCACACCAUUGGGUGAGACUAGUCCUCCACUCGUCCGCCUCACUAGUUCCUGUAGGGACGAGUCUUGUGUGUGCGUGUUUUUUUUUAAAAAAAUUUUUUUAAUCCUAUAUACAAAGAAGAAGACAAAAAAAUUAGUGGGUCCAAGACUAGUCCUUGGGAGAUGAGUGCAUUGGGUGUAUUUUGGGGGAUUAGUCUUUGGAGUGUUUUUUUGCUGAUGUGGCGCUGACAGAGACUAGUCUUUGGGGGAUGAGUGGUCACCAUUGGGUACCCUCUUAUAACAAAUUAGAACAGAGUUAAUAUGAGAAGAUCAUGUGAUUGAAAGCUCAUAUCAGUUGGGAGCAGACAUUAGUUAUAAUAAAGUGUAUGAUGAUUAUGAUCAUGAUCAUGAUACUGAUUUUUUGUUUUAAAUUAUCAUACAUAUAAUCAUGAUGUAUACUUAAACCAACUUAAAUACUCAUGUACGUCAUUGGAAAUUCCUUUGAAAA